RNAcentral lists this ribosomal RNA (238 nucleotides) under uncultured Lactobacillus sp. Its description in RNAcentral is "partial 16S ribosomal RNA". It matches the Rfam family "Bacterial small subunit ribosomal RNA", at positions 125 to 354 of the family's 1533-position model. Lineage: Bacteria; Bacillati; Bacillota; Bacilli; Lactobacillales; Lactobacillaceae. The record is from RNAcentral.
CCGUAGCCCAAGAGAUCGGGAUAACACCUGGAAACAGAUGCUAAUACCGGAUAACAACAGAUGAUGCCUAUCAACUGUUUAAAGAUGGUUCUGCUAUCACUCUUGGAUGGACCUGCGGUGCAUUAGCUAGUUGGUAGGGUAACGGCCUACCAAGGCGAUGAUGCAUAGCCGAGUUGAGAGACUGAUCGGCCACAUUGGGACUGAGACACGGCCCAAACUCCUACGGGAGGCAGCAGAC